RNAcentral lists this ribosomal RNA (253 nucleotides) under uncultured bacterium. RNAcentral describes it as "partial 16S ribosomal RNA". It matches the Rfam family "Bacterial small subunit ribosomal RNA", at positions 524 to 776 of the family's 1533-position model. The record is from RNAcentral.
UACGGAGGGGGCUAGCGUUGUUCGGAAUUACUGGGCGUAAAGCGCACGUAGGCGGCUUUGUAAGUUAGAGGUGAAAGCCCGGGGCUCAACUCCGGAAUUGCCUUUAAGACUGCAUCGCUAGAAUUGUGGAGAGGUAAGUGGAAUUCCGAGUGUAGAGGUGAAAUUCGUAGAUAUUCGGAAGAACACCAGUGGCGAAGGCGACUUACUGGUCCGGUACUGACGCUGAGGUGCGAAAGCGUGGGGAGCAAACAGG